Molecule: transfer RNA, 96 nt
Filed under: Anopheles merus
Lineage: Eukaryota; Metazoa; Arthropoda; Insecta; Diptera; Culicidae
Description: tRNA tRNA-Tyr
Rfam family: tRNA
About the family: Transfer RNA (tRNA) molecules are approximately 80 nucleotides in length. Their secondary structure includes four short double-helical elements and three loops (D, anti-codon, and T loops).
Source: RNAcentral
CCUUCGAUAGCUCAGUUGGUAGAGCGGUGGACUGUAGAAGAGGAGAACAUAAAACGAGAAAUCCAUAGGUCGCUGGUUCAAAUCCGGCUCGAAGGA